Molecule: RNA transcript, 9801 nt
Organism: Rhopilema esculentum
Lineage: Eukaryota; Metazoa; Cnidaria; Scyphozoa; Rhizostomeae; Rhizostomatidae
Gene name: acylamino-acid-releasing enzyme
Source: RefSeq, a predicted model, not a curated record
UGUGACGUUAUUAGCCUCGUAUUUAUGUUAUGUUGGGCAUGCGCCCGGUUCGUUAUGUUAUGUUAAAUGAUGUUAUGCGUGAGAAUAUGAAAUGAAGUAUUGAAGUUCAAAUUCGGGUGUUCUUUCGUUGUUACAUACCGGAUAUUCUUACAUGGUGUCAGGUGAAACACCCAUCUUUGAUAGGUGAAACACCCAUCUUUAGGAGGUAAAUGAUUGCUUUGCUGGUUCUUGUUUCGCGAUGACAGAUCCGAAUCCAAUCGUGCCUGGGCCUAGUGCUUCCUCUGAAGGAAAUAGCGGAACAUCGGCGUUCAUAUCUAACGUGCCAUUACCCCCACGAUUAAGUUUAGAAGGGAAUUUGGCAGAGAAUUGGAAGCAAUGGAAACAAAUCUAUGAUGCGUACGAAACUGUUACGAAUUUGAAGUCUAAACCAGACAAUUUUCGAGUGGCUGCUUUCAUCACUUGCAUAGGACCGGAAGCCCUUCGAAUACACAAUUCACUUCCGUACCAGGAGGAGGGUGAACGUCAAAACAUUGAGCGAAUCUUCGAAUUAUGGAAUACUUACUGUAUUGGAGAAACAAUUGUGAUUUACGAACGGUAUAAAUUCAAUAACUGUACACAGGGCCCUACAGAGUCAAUUGAAACUUAUGCGGCUUCUUUGCGUGCCCUCGCAGCCACAUGUGCAUUUGGACCACUUAAUGAUGAGUUGAUACGUGACCGAAUUGUUUGUGGCAUUCACAACAAUGCUGUGCGACGUAAGCUACUGCAAGAACCAAAACUCUCAUUAUCUAAAUGCAUUGACUUAUGCAGGGCCACAGAAACAACUACUGCUCAAGCAAAAAUAAUUGCUGGCCAAGAUGAUAAUCAAGACCUCAUGGCCCCUUAUGUUGGAAAGCAAAGCAGCCCGAGGAAGACCACUGGAGACACAAGAGGUUUUAUUUCCGACUGCAAAUUUUGUGGGCGUAGCCAUAAAAGAAACAAAGAGAGUUGCCCAGCCUUUGGCAGAUAUUGUUCUGGUUGUGGUAAGAGAAACCAUUUUGUUGAGAAGUGCAGCUUGAAGAAAUCACCAGGUAUGAGAGAUACAUUUUCUAAAGCCAAAAUACAUGCAGUGAAGGAAGAAAACACUUCAAAUGAUGAUGAAAUUCUCAUUGUUGAAAUUUCACCCAAAAAUAAUCUGGCAAUAAAUGCUGUGUCCCAGUCCCCUCCUAAGAACAAAAUUUUUGCCUCCAUGAUUAUAAAAGGCAGGCAAAUUAGUUUUCAAAUUGACUCAGGUGCUACCUGUAAUGUCCUUCCAGAACACUUCGUUCCUCCAGGCACAAAAGUUGAAAAAUCGGAUCACUCUUUGCGCCUGUACAGCCAAGCCUUAUUACCGAUAAAUGGUAUUUGUAAACUUAAGGUAGUAAACCCAAAGAUCCAGACUGAGUACACUGUCAGAUUUGUUGUUGUAAAAGGUGACUAUGUGCCAUUAUUAGGAGCAAAUGCAGCACAAAAGAUGGGACUUCUGACUGUUAAUUAUGCUAAUAUCUUUAACGCAAGUGUAGAUAAUGUUAGCUCUAACAGUAUUGCUUCAAACAGCACACAUCAACAGGCACAACCAACGGUUGUCAUGGAAACAGUCUUAUCGACCACCGCAGUGGCUCCACUCAGUAUUGCAGAUAUAGAGAACCGUUUUGGAGAUGUCUUUGAAGGUCUGGGUCACAUGCCAGGCAAAUUGCACUUAGAUGUUGAUGAGUCACAAACCCCUGUUGUCAUGCCGCCUCGCAGAGUACCAAUCGCUCUCAAAGCCAAACUCAAGGCUGAAUUGGAAAGGCUGGAAAAUCUUCAUGUCAUUCAGAAAGUUACAAGUCCAACAGAUUGGGUAUCAAAUCUCGUCAUUGCAGAAAAACCAAAUGGGAAACUGAGGGUGUGCAUCGAUCCACAACACCUCAAUAAAGCAUUGAAAAGAAGUCAUUAUCCUUUACCGCUUAUUGAGGAUGUGCUACCAGAGCUAGAGGGUGUCAAGGUAUUCAGCAAAAUUGACCUGAAGGAAGGGUACCUUCAAAUAGAGCUCGAUGAAGAAUCAAGCAUGCUCACAACGUUCCAGACACCAUGGGGGCGUUGGAGGUACCUCAGGAUGCCAUUUGGAAUUAAACCAGCAUCAGAACAUUUUCAACACAAAUUUGAUCAGUGCAUUGAAGGCCUAUCUGGGGUGUAUGCAGUCGCUGACGAUGCUCUUGUUACCGGUAGAGGAGAAACUUACGAAGAAGCUGUCAAAAAUCAUGACAUGAACAUGGUGGCACUUUUGAAACGUUGUCAACAAAAAAAAUAUCAAGCUGAACAAGGACAAAUUCAAGUUCAAAUGCGAUGAAGUUUCCUUCAUUGGUCAUACCCUAACACAGAAUGGUCUUAAAAUAGACCCCGCAAAAGUUGAAGCCAUCACAAAGAUGAGAAAGCCGAAAGAUGUCGCUGGUGUACAAAGGUUCAUUGGCAUGGUAAAAUACCUGGCCAAGUUUCUUCCCAGACUAUCUGAAGUAUGCGAACCUCUGAGAAGUUUGACCCACAAAGAUGCACCAUGGGUAUGGGGAAAAGAUCAUGACAAGUCUUUUGCUGACAUACAAAAAGCAAUUUGUGAGGCACCAGUUCUAAAGUAUUUUGACCAUAAGGCAGCAACAGAAGGCCAGGCUGAUGCAUCAUCAAAGGGGCUUGGUUUCGUGCUCAUGCAAGAGGGACGUCCCGUGUCAUAUGCAAGCAGAGCCCUCACCCCUGCAGAGCAAAAUUACAGCCAAAUAGAGAAGGAGCUGCUUGCACAAGUAUUUGGAGUGGAACAUCACCAUACCUAUGUCUAUGGCAGAGAGAUUACACUUUGGACGGAUCACAAACCACUUGUCUCAAUCGUCAGCAAACCACUCGCCUCUGCUCCAAAGAGACUGCAAAGGUUGCUACUAAGAUUGCAAUCAUACGAUGUUAAAAUCUGCUAUAAACCUGGCAAAGAAAUUGUUCUAGCAGACACACUCUCUCGUGCAUACCUGCCGACAAGUGAGAGACAAAAGUCCGCAACUGAAGAAGAAGUCGAAACUAUCCACAUGUCAAAUUAUCUCCCCAUCUCUGAGCCACAGCUGAAGGAAAUACAGCGAGAAACCAAAUGUGACAGCACUUUACAAGCACUGAAAGAAAUAAUUUUGAAUGGGUGGCCAGAAAGAAAAGAUACCCUUCCUCGAUGUAUUCAUCCAUACUUCUCAAUUAGAGACGAGCUAGCAACACAGGAUGACGUAAUAUUCAAGGGUCAGAGAGCAGUUGUUCCAGAAACACUGCGCAAAAAGAUCCGGGAUAAACUGCAUGUAACACACACAGGAAUACAGAGCUGCCUCAGAAGAGCCAGAGAAGCAGUUUACUGGCCUGGCAUGAACAAAGAUCUUAUCGACUUCAUCUCGAAAUGUGAAAUCUGUAACACAUUCCAAAACAACCAGACCAGAGAGCCCCUUAUUCCUCGUGAAAUCCCAAGCCGCCCCUGGCAAAUAAUUGCUGCUGACAUUUUCACAGUCAACAACAAAGACUUUCUCUGUACUGUGGAUUGCUACUCCAACUACUUUGAGAUAGAUCGUCUAUUUUACAAAACUGCUGGGGAAAUUAAGAAGAAGCUCAAGCGACAUUUCUCCACUCAUGGCAUACCAGAUAAGCUCAUGAGUGACAACGUACCUUUCUCCUCUAAAGAAUUUCAGAAUUUUACCAAAGAAUAUGAAUUUACCACCGAGCUAAGCUCGCCAGAGUACGCACAGAGUAAUGGCAAAGCAGAAAAUGCCGUCAAAACUGCAAAGAUGCUAAUGAAAAAAGCGACUGAAUCUGGCAAUGACUUGUGCUACUAGAAUGGCGAAACACGCCCUCUGAGGGGAUGGAAAGCUCUCCUUCCCAACGUAUUUUUAGCAGACGAGCUAAAACACUGCUUCCCAUAUCGAAGAAGCUCCUUAAACCAAAGGUUGUCACUGGUGUCCAAGAUAAACUUCGAAAGAGGAAAGAGAUACAAUCAAAGUAUUAUAACAGAGGCACAAGUGAGCUAAGUGCAUUAGAGAAAGAUGAUGUAGUCCGGAUAAAGCCAAGAAAUUCCGCCAGAACAGGCCGCUUGACCAAGGGAUGUGUCAUAGAGCUAGUUGGUGUAAGAUCUUUUAUGUAAAAACCGAAGAUGGAAGAAUCUUCAGACGAAAUCGAAAGUUUCUACGUCAAACCAUAGAGCCUUUCUUUGCAGAUGAAGAAGAUUCAAUCAUUUUCCCCAUAAAGGAACGAGAAGCAGUGGCUCGACCUUAUGAAGAUCACCAAUCUGAAAUGGAGCAAUUUGAUCCGCAAGAGGCACCUCACUCACGACCUGAUGCUACUGAAGAAGAGACAGCAGCUGCAAGACCUGCUGAGACAAGAUUUGAUCACAGGCAAUUGAACUUUUACCAGCCAGUAACGACAAGGAGUGGCAGGAAAGGAAUUCGGCCUGACUACCUCGCUGGCCACAACUUCUGAUUAGCAAACUUUAAAAACAAUUAUUUUUAUUAUGUUACUGUUCUGUUUAUUCUUUUUUUGGAGGAAGGGUGUGACGUUAUUAGCCUCGUAUUUAUGUUAUGUUGGGCAUACGCCCGGUUUGUUAUGUUAUGUUAUGCGUGAGAAUACAAAAUGGAGUAUUGAAGUUCGAGUUCGAGUGUUCUAUCCUUGUUAUAUACCGGAUAAUCUUACAGUGGUAAAUCUCAAUUUUUCAUUGCCAGUAUUUCUAAUGUUCACUGUCUUUACCCCUUUUAAAUAGAAGGUGGUGGACGAUGGCAUAUCAAAAUAGCAAGGAGUUUCAUCCAUAUUCAUUAUGAUGUCAAAAUCAUCCAACGUUUUAAUCAAAGCUAAGAAUGUAUCACAACGUUCUGGGGCAUCAUCAGGAAUUUUCUGCCCAACACUUGUAACUCGACGAAACUUUAGGUUAUUUCGUCUAAUCAUUCGACGUAGCCAUCCGCAAGAAGCAGAAAAGCGCUCAUUAUUGCUUAGAUACAUAGCUGGAAAUAUAACCAUCGCCUUUCUGUGUAUCUGCUCACCAGUGACAGAAUUACGUUUACCUCUCUCUUCUUUGAUGUAGUCCAAAAAAGCAGAUUCAAGCAAUGGAUAUCUAGCGUUUGACUGUCUGUUCCUUCUAUGCGACCGAACGUUAAUUCCUGGAGUAAGGGCAGCCGACUUUGAUUCUUCCGUUUGCUUGCUCCAUCACUGCAAAUUUUUCCUCGGAAUGGAGGAAAAGAGGAAAUGUACUUUAUGGCACCGUCAACUUCAGUGGCAGUUUCAGAGGUAGGGUUCAGUUUAUGAAGUUGUUUAAGAGCUGAGCGCAGUCCUGGCAGUUGAGCUGCAAAUGGUCGAACACUUGCAACACGAUCAGUCCAUCUUGUACCUGACAGGCCGUGCAGUGAGGAUCCAAUGUUUUCUCGAAGGAUGGACCAUUGCUGGAGACUUGAGGAGAAUAGGUUGUACACUGUUUUUACCAUACCAAAAAAUGUCACUGCUUCUUUACAGCAAGCUGCAGAAUCUGCUCCACAGAGAUUGAGUGAAUGGCAGGCACAGGGUGAGUACAGGCACAAGAGAUUUUCAGCAAGGAUAUGCUGUUGGGCUCUAUUUUAUUUGCCAGACAUGUUUGCAGCAUUAUCAUAUCCUUGACCACGGCAGUCUGCAAGUGGAAUCCCAAACUUUUUCAAGGUUUCCAAGAUUAGAAUACUUAUUUCAAGACCAGUCUUCUUACAAAAAUCAACAAAUGUCAAGAAUAGCUCUUUCACAACAAAAGUUUCCAGCUCCCUCUUCAAAUAGCGGAUUAUAAAGUAGUUUGUUCAACGUGACUUCAGUCAAGUGUUCCAUCCAGAAUGAUUGAAUAGUAUUUUGCAUCAUCAAUUUCAUCCAAGACACGACUACCAACAUACUCUGCACAAAGACCAAUAAACUAGUUCUGAGAUGAUGCUGAAAGAAAAUGAGCUUGCAGUUUUUCACCUUUUUCCUGUGAUACUUGAAUUUUUGUAACAUGCUCUUGUAGAAUUGGAUCAUAGUGAGCAAGGAGCUCAAUAAGACCUGGAAAAUUCCCAUUGUGAAUAUCACAAAUUCUUUAUGAAGAUCCACGGAAAGGCAGUCCUCUUUCACCAAGAAAGACAACGACAUGAAUGAUUCUUGCAAGAAUCAUCUUCCAUUCGUGAGCCUCUGAGAGAAUCCUUUCAUUGAUGAGCAUGUCAACUCAAGAAAAUUCUUCCAAACGCCUCUCAAAUUGUCGCCAGGUGAGGUAACAUUUCUUGUGCACCGUGCUGUGCUCAUGCUCAGGAAGCCGGUCGAGAAACUUUCUCCAUUUUUGUGUUGUGCUCCAUCCAUUGGCGGACGCCAAGAUUGAUUUGGAUGAUGUAUGUUCUACUGAACUUGUGAAAAGUCUACAUGGCAAACAGAAUGAAGCACUCUUAGCAGGGCUGUUCGGUUGUUUGAAUUUCAGCACAGAUGUUGGAAAUUUUCUGCAGGUAAUGUCAUUGGGAAACUGCUCGGAUGUGCUAGAUGGCCUCUUCGUAUCAUUUCUUCCAGUUCCUUUGUUGUAGGAGCGGCUGGAGACGUUCCAAUGUUGAAGCCGAAAUGUACUGGCUUGGUUAUUUCACUAUGAGCUGACUCCUCUUGACUUGGGGUUGCUUGUAAAGUUGCUGGAGACACUGUUUUAUCUGGCUUAUCUGAGAGUUCUGGCCAUGUUGAGGUAUCUGGCUUAUCUGAGAGUUCUGGCCAUGUUGAGGUAUCUGGCUUAUCUGAGAGUUCUGGCCAUGUUGAGGUAUCUGGCUUAUCUGAGAGUAGGUUGUGGACCGGUUUGUUCAUUUUCGAGCCCAGAAGUUUCUUUUUCAGUUUCAGUUCGCUUUUUAAUACUAACAUCAAAUAAUGUUAGUGCGCCUGUCUUAGUUUCUUUGUCCCUCUCCUUCUUUUCCCGUCGUUUCUGACCACCAGACUUAUGUUGAUAGGAGGACAAACUUACUUCGAAAUUCUUUUUAGCUCUUCUCUUCAACAGGUCUCUCCAAAUUUGAUCUAAAUUGACUGGUGAGAAAACAUUUUACAGCGUAUUAAGUACGUUAUAUCAAAAGUACGUUGUAACGAGGGUAAGUAAAAAUUGAUUAAAACCAAGCACACCUUUUGCCGGUGUCAUAUGCGUUUCGGUAACCUUAUGCAUUUCGGUCCGGGUGCUCAAACGCAUGGCAAUUUUGGUUAUGCAAAAUCGUACCCAAGCACUUAAACAAUAGAGUACCAAAACGAAUGGUAAAAUUUAGCAUGCAAAACGGUCCGGGCACACAAACGCAUGGCAAUUUUGUUUAUACAAAAACGUACCAAAGCACUUAAAUAAUAGAGUACCAAAACGAAUGGUGGAAUUUAGCAUGCAAAAUGGUCCCGGUACACAAACGCAUGGCAAUUUUUCUUAUACAAAACGUACCCAAGCUUUUAAAAAACAGAGAACCGAAACGAAUGGUGGAAUUUAGCAUGCGAACCGGUCUUGGAACACAAAUGUUCUUGUUUAUAUUGUUCAGAACGUAAAGAACAAUCAAACUAUGUCUAACAAGGGGUACUAACAAGAAGCAGUGCUGUGAUUUCCCUUGUUAAGUUUAAACAAAAAAGUAAAACAUUAAUGGCGACUCCAAAGUUUUUUUGAUCGAAAAAUGUGAAAUUUUAAACUCAAAAAAGCAUUGUGUUCAAUUUGUUAUUUAUAACGUGUCAUAAUAUCGCACUACGAUGAAAUCACAUGAUUUGAAACACAUUGCGUUUUACAAUGUUACACUUUUGCAGAGGGUACCAAAACGCAUAUUACACCGGGACCAAGCACUCCAGUACGUUAUAUCCGAAAGUACGUAAUAACCAAGUAUUAUAACUUAUAACGGGAUUCUACUGUAUUCUUUCCUGACAGAGCUGUCUGUUUUGGUCAACUGUAAUUAACGGUAGGUAAUUACAACAUAACUUUAAGUCUUCGCUUUAAUAUCAUUACAAAAUAUGACAGAAUAAUACAGCUUCAAUUUUAACGGGCCCCCAAAAUGGCCAGGGCCCCGGGGAAGUUGCCCCCGGCUACCCCCUUUCGGCAGUACUGUCUAUAGUGACUACCGAAGAAAACAAAAUGAAAAAUACCAUUGUGAAAUGAUUGCUGCCCACCGAUGCAUUCCAUACAAGAUUAUUGGGGCUCCGGAAAGUCCAUUUUCUCUAGCGACAAAAGAAACCCCGGAGACAUUUCCUGAAGAAAAAGCAUCAUCGACUUCAUCGUCACAAACUUUCCAGGAAUCCUUGACUGGAAAAUCAAAUGAAGCCUGUUCGGCUCUUAGUGACAUGUAACUUCAACCAGAUACUGCUGCUCGAAUGGGUGAUCAGGCUGUCGCCUCUACGCUACACUCUGAAUCUCAGUUGACUUUGUGACCAAUCAUUUUGAGGAGUUUCCAACGGAUCUGGCUAACUUCCGAGGUACAAGAAUAACAGCCAAACAACGUGCCAAAAUUGUGCGACAUGGACUAUGCCAACCAACCAGCAUCUUAUUCUCGAAGAAUAUCGAUGGUAGAUGCUUUAAACAAUCAUGGUAUAAAAGAAAUAAGAGUUUACGCGAAUGGUUGAUAUAUUCUCCAAAAGUGCAAAAAAUGUUUUGUUUCUGCUGUUGGCUUUUUCCUUGCACAUCAGAAAAAGAUUUAGAGAAAAAUUGGAGCCAGAUAGGUGUUGGAAAUUUCAAGAAAGGAAUCGAGAAGAUCAGGGCACACGAAGAUACAAGGCUUCACUGUAUUAGUCUUGCACAGUGGGAGUCUUUCAGCAGCGACUUCUGCAUGGCCAAACAAUUUAUGCAGAAUUUCAGAGGUAACUUGAAACAGAUAGGGAGAAGACAUUAUUGAUCCUAGAUCGAAUCUUCUCCAUAACUUUUUUUUUUGGCAUUACAAGAGAUUUCAUUCAGAGGUGAUCAGUUUGAAAGCCAAGCACAAAUGUCUUCGUUUGAAAAAAGUGGUAACUACCUGGAAUUGCUACAGUUGGUGGCAAAAUAUUAUCCAGUUCUGGUUGCUCAUCUUUCAAGCAAGAAGUCGGAGGGGGGAGGGGAAAGUACACUUCUCCUGAAAUUCAGAAUAGAAUUAUCAGCUCAAUAUCUACAGUAAUUCAAAAUCAAAUUAUAACAAAAAUAUACAAACAAUAAUUCAAGAAAUAAACUCUUUAGAUUCGAAGAAGGCAACUGGCCCUGAUGAUAUACCAUCUAAAGUCAUCAAAACAUCAGUGGAAGAACUUUCUGAAACAUUACAAAUUCUCUUUAACCACUCUGUCAAAACUGGUGGAUUUCUCAAUGCAAUAAAACAAGCAGAUGUAUCACCAGUAUUUAAGAAAGAAAAUCCAAAUGAUAAAAAGAACUACAGGGCGGUUUGGUCUGAAAGUUUUCUGCAAAAGGCAUUGAAUUUGACGGAGUUUGACAUUCAUGGCGACGUUUACAAUGAUGUAACAUUUUCAAGUUUGAAUUGGUCAGCUGAUAACAGGAGACUGGUGUACAUUGCUGAAACAAAGAGGGAGACUCGGCAGACAUUUUUUCAACGCAAAAAGGCGCUAGUUUUGCGUUGACAAAAGUUGCUUCAGGAAACCUGACAGUGAAGACCUAACGUUUUAACACGCGAUCCCUAAUCCAUUCGUUGUGAAAAUAUUUUAAAUUUCACGUUGCAACAAGCUGCUUCUAAUUCUCCAAGAUCAGAAUGCAAGGACCCAGAAAAAAAGACGGGUGACAAGUAUUUGUAUGAAGAGGACUGGGGUGAGCAGAAAAAAGAAUUAUUGCAUUCAGCAAUCGUUGUUGUUGAUAUUCACAGAGAGGAAGUCAGU